UAGAAAAAAAUGUCUAAAUAUAUGAAAUUAUGACUUUAUAAUCUUGUUGUGGAUUCAUUUGAAACAAAUGAUAUGUGGAGCAUUUUAUGAAUCAUCUUUCAAUAUAUAAAGAGAGUUCAGUCAGUCUUUGAGUGCUUUAGAUAAAAAGAGAGACCUGAAAAUAAGAAACAUUCACAGUUCAACAAUACAGAAAUGUCUUAUUUUUAGAAUUUUAUUUAAAAAAACAUUUUAUUGAAAUUUUUUUUUAAAUGCUGCAAGACCUGUAAGGGCUAUGAGGAAUUUUAUUUGAAUGGUAAAUGGUAAAUGGCCUGUAUUUAUAUAGCGCUUUACUAGUCCCUAAGGACCCCAAAGCGCUUUACAUAUCCAGUCAUCCACCCAUUCACACACACAUUCACACACUGAAUAGUACCUGAUUCUGUAUCUGCCAAGUUCAACAUGAAUAUGGAAGGUAAAGUGCUUCAUAUUUUGUAGAUUUAAAUGAGAGUAGAUGUAUCAAAGUUUUGGGAAUCCUCAUCUGUGGAACUAACAUGAAGUUGCUGCUUCUUCCUCUUGUCUGCAAGGAAACACAUCCAAACUUUUUACUUUCUUUCAAAGAUGAUGAUUAUAAAUGGAUGUGACUGUGUUCUUAUGGAAGUACUAUUUCAUAGAAUUACACAUUUUUCUAGUACCAUUUACAAUAAUAGCAGGAACAGUAAUCAUAGCAGUCGUCAUAAUUUGUGUUUUCUUAAUUCUUAUAGUGUGGAAAAUACAGGUCACUUGAAUGAGGUCAACAUUGUAUGAGACUUAAUAUAAAGUAUAUAAGUCUCAUGAGAUAUAUGUAAAACAUUUAUUGUAAGUUUUCUUCUGCACAGGGCUGUUGGUGGUUUAUUAGAUCUUAGAACUACACUGAAGAGAAAAGCUCUGCCACAAAACAGUUGGUUUUAAUUUAUCCAACUCCUGUUUGUUCUGUUUUAUCAUUAUAUCCUGUUUUCUUUUUUUUACUCUUUUAAUGUUAACCAUCUGUACAAAGAAAACACAAAAUCCAGUUUCUCAGUGUUUUUUUUAAAAUUAUUAUUAUGAAGAAGCAUGCAGGCUUUUUAUGACCAGACGGAGUCUUUUACUUCACUUCUCUGUCAAUGAUUUACUGUCAUUCAACAGACUAACAAAAACGAUUCAGGCUUGCUGCAGGCAAAGAACUCAGCCUGGGGUGUGUUUGCCUCUCUUUAUAUGUACUGUUUUAAAGCAAUCUGACUUUAUUUUUUGACACAUUUUAUUUUUUUGGCAUCAACGUCAGACUUUUCAGACAUAUGACAUUGAUCAAAUAACCACAUGCUGAUCAUCAUAUUAGUAUAUCUGUAUGUGUCAUAAAUUGAUCCCCUUCAUCUCAUGAAUUGUAUUUUCAAGUGCAUUUUACUUUAAUGUAAGACCAAGACAAAGAGCAACUGACAACCUGAAUAAUAAAACAUUUGUCAGUCAAACAAUUAAGGGAGGAUAGUAUGAAUCGUUUAAAUUGAUGAAAUAAUAAUGGAAUGAUCUCGGCAGCUUUAAUGUGAGCUGUAAAUCAAAUUUAGAUUCAGGUAUUAAUAAAAAAAAGUUUAUCUAAAUGUUGUGAUUGUGAUGUUUGUAUGCUUAGUUGCAGGUGAGUAUAUUUUGACAGGAGUGAUUUUUGUUGUUUGUUUUUCUUGGCUUGUCAACAGCUGUAAUGUAAAAAUUCGUUGGUAAUAAAAAUGCUAUUGAUUAUUAAA
This is a long non-coding RNA of Astatotilapia calliptera (eastern happy), 1724 nucleotides long. The record is from Ensembl. Lineage: Eukaryota; Metazoa; Chordata; Actinopteri; Cichliformes; Cichlidae.